This 513-nucleotide ribosomal RNA is filed under the name Stutzerimonas stutzeri. RNAcentral describes it as "bacterial SSU rRNA". It matches the Rfam family "Bacterial small subunit ribosomal RNA", at positions 71 to 580 of the family's 1533-position model. The record is from RNAcentral. Lineage: Bacteria; Pseudomonadati; Pseudomonadota; Gammaproteobacteria; Pseudomonadales; Pseudomonadaceae.
GAGUGGAGCUUGCUCCAUGAUUCAGCGGCGGACGGGUGAGUAAUGCCUAGGAAUCUGCCUGGUAGUGGGGGACAACGUUUCGAAAGGAACGCUAAUACCGCAUACGUCCUACGGGAGAAAGCAGGGGACCUUCGGGCCUUGCGCUAUCAGAUGAGCCUAGGUCGGAUUAGCUAGUUGGUGAGGUAAAGGCUCACCAAGGCGACGAUCCGUAACUGGUCUGAGAGGAUGAUCAGUCACACUGGAACUGAGACACGGUCCAGACUCCUACGGGAGGCAGCAGUGGGGAAUAUUGGACAAUGGGCGAAAGCCUGAUCCAGCCAUGCCGCGUGUGUGAAGAAGGUCUUCGGAUUGUAAAGCACUUUAAGUUGGGAGGAAGGGCAGUAAGUUAAUACCUUGCUGUUUUGACGUUACCGACAGAAUAAGCACCGGCUAACUUCGUGCCAGCAGCCGCGGUAAUACGAAGGGUGCAAGCGUUAAUCGGAAUUACUGGGCGUAAAGCGCGCGUAGGUGGUU